CUUGCCUGGGCUCCCCCCACCCCGAACCCACCCGCGUCCCCACGCAAAGCUUUUCCCGGGUGGUUCUUCCCCCCUGUGGGCUUUCGGCUUGAGUUGGCGAUGUUUAAAGCCCCUAGGGGUUUGGUUUCGUUCGGCGGUACCUUUAAAGCUACAGCCCUGGAGAGGUUUCCCGGGAUGGGCCCUGUCGCCAAGUCAAGGUGAUGAUUAAAAUGCCUGUUAAGGAUGUAACUCAGUCCUUUGGUCUUGCAGUGUCUCUUGCAAUGCCUGCUGCAAGAAAACAUUUAAACAAAAGAAAGCAGAAGAAUCACAGUGAUGAAUUGUGCCUGGUUUUGCCAUUAAAAAGGGGAAGAAUCAAGGAAAGAAACACUAUUCCCUGCAAACAGCAACCACCUCUUUCUGCUCCUCUUUGAAAAUGUUUUAACAGAGGCUACAUAAAUGGUUUAACACCAAGCAUCUCUCUGAGUGAAUCUCUUGAGAUCCUGUGUGCCCAGAUUUCAGAUUCUGCUCCCAUCCUUUUACUGGCUCAAGACCCCCAUGGGAUGCUCUCAGCAGCAGCUUGGAAGAUGCAGUCUGCAAAGGAACACUGGAAUACAGGUGCAGCCAAGAGAUGGAAGCAGAGCAUUGACAAAGGUUGAAUUUCAAAUCUUUUAUUAUUUAGCUUUGCCAAACAGAUAAUGGAAUCUGAAGUUGAUUUGCUAAAAUGUUUUGUAGUGAAUGCCACCCCUGCCUGAGGCAAAGAGGGUCUCAGUGGCAGCAGGGGGGCUUAGGCUAUGGCAGCAGUUCAAAAGAACACUUUUCAUUUUGUAUGCAACAAUGUAAACUUCAAAAAUAGUAAACUAUAACC
Molecule: long non-coding RNA, 844 nt
Organism: Calypte anna (Anna's hummingbird)
Lineage: Eukaryota; Metazoa; Chordata; Aves; Apodiformes; Trochilidae
Exons: 3
Source: RefSeq, a predicted model, not a curated record